Molecule: ribosomal RNA, 303 nt
Filed under: uncultured Bacillus sp.
Lineage: Bacteria; Bacillati; Bacillota; Bacilli; Caryophanales; Bacillaceae
Description: bacterial SSU rRNA
Rfam family: Bacterial small subunit ribosomal RNA
Source: RNAcentral
UCACUUUAAGGUGUGUGCCGGUGACAAACCGGAGGAAGGUGGGGAUGACGUCAAAUCAUCAUGCCCCUUAUGACCUGGGCUACACACGUGCUACAAUGGGCAGAACAAAGGGCAGCGAAGCCGCGAGGCUAAGCCAAUCCCACAAAUCUGUUCUCAGUUCGGAUCGCAGUCUGCAACUCGACUGCGUGAAGCUGGAAUCGCUAGUAAUCGCGGAUCAGCAUGCCGCGGUGAAUACGUUCCCGGGCCUUGUACACACCGCCCGUCACACCACGAGAGUUUGUAACACCCGAAGUCGGUGAGGUA